GAGAAAAAUUUCCUCGCGGUUACAGGAACGCGUAUUAGUCGUGUUUAAAAAUCGCAACAACUUCCGGGAACGUCUAGAUGACGGCUCAUCAUUUCGGUAUCUAAUAUGGAGCAAGCGGAACACAUAUUGGCUGAAUUGAUAGUUAAUAAUGAAUCACUUCCAAAUAUUGUUAACAACCAGCCGACGACUGCAGCAUGGACCACUAAAAACUACGACGAAUAGCGAAGUAGCUGCGGCCGGAUUCAUAACCGUUGUUCUAUUUUUAAAUAAUUCCUGGGAAAAUACGGGUCACAAUACUGAAUAGUAUUUGCGAUGGUAUAUCGUUAUUGAUUUUUGCAAUGACCGAGAGACGGUGGGGGACUUUUCUCUGCACACGUCUUUCACGACUUCCACGCACAAACGUCAAUUGCAACAAUAUUUUUUCUAUUAUUUCAAUAACAAAAUUUCAAUUUUUCCCCUACCCUCUCUCACCGUUGUCCGCGACUCGAAUGCAAAAGAAAAAAAAAAAAAAAAUACCACCUCCGCGAA
This is a long non-coding RNA of Athalia rosae (coleseed sawfly), 528 nucleotides long. RefSeq lists it as uncharacterized. NCBI's taxonomy places the organism in Eukaryota, Metazoa, Arthropoda, Insecta, Hymenoptera, Athaliidae. The record is from RefSeq and is a predicted model, not a curated record. The transcript is spliced from 2 exons.